GGGUUGUGAGGUUAAGCGACUAAGCGUACACGGUGGAUGCCCUGGCAGUCAGAGGCGAUGAAGGACGUGCUAAUCUGCGAUAAGCGUCGGUAAGGUGAUAUGAACCGUUAUAACCGGCGAUUUCCGAAUGGGGAAACCCAGUGUGUUUCGACACACUAUCAUUAACUGAAUCCAUAGGUUAAUGAGGCGAACCGGGGGAACUGAAACAUCUAAGUACCCCGAGGAAAAGAAAUCAACCGAGAUUCCCCCAGUAGCGGCGAGCGAACGGGGAGCAGCCCAGAGCCUGAAUCAGUGUGUGUGUUAGUGGAAGCGUCUGGAAAGGCGCGCGAUACAGGGUGACAGCCCCGUACACAAAAAUGCACAUGCUGUGAGCUCGAUGAGUAGGGCGGGACACGUGGUAUCCUGUCUGAAUAUGGGGGGACCAUCCUCCAAGGCUAAAUACUCCUGACUGACCGAUAGUGAACCAGUACCGUGAGGGAAAGGCGAAAAGAACCCCGGCGAGGGGAGUGAAAAAGAACCUGAAACCGUGUACGUACAAGCAGUGGGAGCACGCUUAGGCGUGUGACUGCGUACCUUUUGUAUAAUGGGUCAGCGACUUAUAUUCUGUAGCAAGGUUAACCGAAUAGGGGAGCCGAAGGGAAACCGAGUCUUAACUGGGCGUUAAGUUGCAGGGUAUAGACCCGAAACCCGGUGAUCUAGCCAUGGGCAGGUUGAAGGUUGGGUAACACUAACUGGAGGACCGAACCGACUAAUGUUGAAAAAUUAGCGGAUGACUUGUGGCUGGGGGUGAAAGGCCAAUCAAACCGGGAGAUAGCUGGUUCUCCCCGAAAGCUAUUUAGGUAGCGCCUCGUGAAUUCAUCUCCGGGGGUAGAGCACUGUUUCGGCAAGGGGGUCAUCCCGACUUACCAACCCGAUGCAAACUGCGAAUACCGGAGAAUGUUAUCACGGGAGACACACGGCGGGUGCUAACGUCCGUCGUGAAGAGGGAAACAACCCAGACCGCCAGCUAAGGUCCCAAAGUCAUGGUUAAGUGGGAAACGAUGUGGGAAGGCCCAGACAGCCAGGAUGUUGGCUUAGAAGCAGCCAUCAUUUAAAGAAAGCGUAAUAGCUCACUGGUCGAGUCGGCCUGCGCGGAAGAUGUAACGGGGCUAAACCAUGCACCGAAGCUGCGGCAGCGACGCUUAUGCGUUGUUGGGUAGGGGAGCGUUCUGUAAGCCUGCGAAGGUGUGCUGUGAGGCAUGCUGGAGGUAUCAGAAGUGCGAAUGCUGACAUAAGUAACGAUAAAGCGGGUGAAAAGCCCGCUCGCCGGAAGACCAAGGGUUCCUGUCCAACGUUAAUCGGGGCAGGGUGAGUCGACCCCUAAGGCGAGGCCGAAAGGCGUAGUCGAUGGGAAACAGGUUAAUAUUCCUGUACUUGGUGUUACUGCGAAGGGGGGACGGAGAAGGCUAUGUUGGCCGGGCGACGGUUGUCCCGGUUUAAGCGUGUAGGCUGGUUUUCCAGGCAAAUCCGGAAAAUCAAGGCUGAGGCGUGAUGACGAGGUACUACGGUGCUGAAGCAACAAAUGCCCUGCUUCCAGGAAAAGCCUCUAAGCAUCAGGUAACAUCAAAUCGUACCCCAAACCGACACAGGUGGUCAGGUAGAGAAUACCAAGGCGCUUGAGAGAACUCGGGUGAAGGAACUAGGCAAAAUGGUGCCGUAACUUCGGGAGAAGGCACGCUGAUAUGUAGGUGAAGUCCCUUGCGGAUGGAGCUGAAAUCAGUCGAAGAUACCAGCUGGCUGCAACUGUUUAUUAAAAACACAGCACUGUGCAAACACGAAAGUGGACGUAUACGGUGUGACGCCUGCCCGGUGCCGGAAGGUUAAUUGAUGGGGUUAGCGCAAGCGAAGCUCUUGAUCGAAGCCCCGGUAAACGGCGGCCGUAACUAUAACGGUCCUAAGGUAGCGAAAUUCCUUGUCGGGUAAGUUCCGACCUGCACGAAUGGCGUAAUGAUGGCCAGGCUGUCUCCACCCGAGACUCAGUGAAAUUGAACUCGCUGUGAAGAUGCAGUGUACCCGCGGCAAGACGGAAAGACCCCGUGAACCUUUACUAUAGCUUGACACUGAACAUUGAGCCUUGAUGUGUAGGAUAGGUGGGAGGCUUUGAAGUGUGGACGCCAGUCUGCAUGGAGCCGACCUUGAAAUACCACCCUUUAAUGUUUGAUGUUCUAACGUUGACCCGUAAUCCGGGUUGCGGACAGUGUCUGGUGGGUAGUUUGACUGGGGCGGUCUCCUCCUAAAGAGUAACGGAGGAGCACGAAGGUUGGCUAAUCCUGGUCGGACAUCAGGAGGUUAGUGCAAUGGCAUAAGCCAGCUUGACUGCGAGCGUGACGGCGCGAGCAGGUGCGAAAGCAGGUCAUAGUGAUCCGGUGGUUCUGAAUGGAAGGGCCAUCGCUCAACGGAUAAAAGGUACUCCGGGGAUAACAGGCUGAUACCGCCCAAGAGUUCAUAUCGACGGCGGUGUUUGGCACCUCGAUGUCGGCUCAUCACAUCCUGGGGCUGAAGUAGGUCCCAAGGGUAUGGCUGUUCGCCAUUUAAAGUGGUACGCGAGCUGGGUUUAGAACGUCGUGAGACAGUUCGGUCCCUAUCUGCCGUGGGCGCUGGAGAACUGAGGGGGGCUGCUCCUAGUACGAGAGGACCGGAGUGGACGCAUCACUGGUGUUCGGGUUGUCAUGCCAAUGGCACUGCCCGGUAGCUAAAUGCGGAAGAGAUAAGUGCUGAAAGCAUCUAAGCACGAAACUUGCCCCGAGAUGAGUUCUCCCUGACCCUUUAAGGGUCCUGAAGGAACGUUGAAGACGACGACGUUGAUAGGCCGGGUGUGUAAGCGCAGCGAUGCGUUGAGCUAACCGGUACUAAUGAACCGUGAGGCUUAACCUUACAACGCCGAAGCUGUU
This 2930-nucleotide ribosomal RNA is filed under the name Escherichia coli. RNAcentral describes it as "23S ribosomal RNA". It matches the Rfam family "Bacterial large subunit ribosomal RNA". The record is from RNAcentral. Lineage: Bacteria; Pseudomonadati; Pseudomonadota; Gammaproteobacteria; Enterobacterales; Enterobacteriaceae.